CAGAUACAUACAGAGAGAAUAAUAAUCAUCAAUUUCUGAUCUGGAUGAAAAAAUUAACAGCAUUGGGAAAGGAGUACAAAGGACUUCAAUUACCUUCCUGGAACGGGAUUUUCAGGCCUUUUCCCUCUUGAAUGUGAGUUUAUCUUCAUACCGGACAGACAGUCAGUUCACUUUUCAGAAGAACGUAAGUUCUCUGGCCGGACAAUGUCAGAGUAAGGGGAUUGCACUGUGGGAGCUGCUCAUUAUGUGCUACCUAAAGAGAUGCUGCCUUCACAUAAUUCAAGCCUUCGCUGCACCAGGAGACGAUAGGAAAGAAGACAUCAGCACGGGCUGAGACCCACAGCCAAGCCUGCCUUGAAGGAAAUCUUGACUGUACAAAGCCCAGAGGAAGAGUUGACCUAUAAUCAGGAGGCUGGCUCAUCAUGACCUAGAGCCAGAAUCCUAGAGCCAGGACACUCAAAGGUCUACAGCUCUCCUGAAAAAUAAACCGACUUGCUCUGUGA
Peromyscus eremicus (cactus mouse) is the source of this 503-nucleotide long non-coding RNA. RefSeq lists it as uncharacterized. The transcript has 2 exons. The record is from RefSeq and is a predicted model, not a curated record. Lineage: Eukaryota; Metazoa; Chordata; Mammalia; Rodentia; Cricetidae.